AUUUCAAGUAUUGCUCCUAUUGGGCUUCUUAUGUCAGGAUACGGAUCGAAUAAUAAAUAUUCCUUUUCAGGUGGUCUACGAGCUGCUGCUCAAUCUAUUAGUUAUGAAAUACCAUUAACUCUAUGUGUGUUAUCAAUAUCUCUACGUGUGAUUCGUUGAACAUGAACUUUAUACUUCUUUCCUAGAAGUAAAGGAAAGAAGUUGAAUGUAAUGUAUUGAAUAGGUAUUUUAUUUUUUAUUCAUCAUUCGGGUCAAUGAGUUAAACCAGAUAGUUAUAUGAGUGAAACAAAACAACUUAGAAGUUUGCAGUAAGAAGAUAAAAUCUCAUUUCAUAUGUACAAGAAUAAAGUUGAAGUAAACAUAAGCAGUGUAAACUGUUUACCCCAAGAUUAAGAUUCUUUCAUUAGUCAUCAUAUCUUGGAGCGGGUGUAAAAGAUCAACUGUAUGGAGUUUUCAUUACUGUCUUGUAUUUAUUACCAUGCCGUAGAUCAAUCAAAAAUCAGUGGACGGUUAGGAACACCAAAGUGCACAAAGGAUUAGUAAUAGAGAUAAUGUAAGGUAUCAAAAAAAGAGAUAUUUCUACAAUUUAUAAAACGAAUAAAAAUAGGGACUUUAAGUUGGUUUAUAUUUAUAAAUUUAUAAAAUAUAAAUUUAUAAAAAAAAUAAAAAAAUGAAUAAAGAUAUUGAUGCAUAAAAUAAAUAAAAGAAUAGAUAAGAAGAGAUUCGUCCACCUCCCAUGGAUUUGAUUCCUUCCCCUAUAAAAAAACUUGCAAUGCCAACCCCAUUUGUAAUUCCAUCAAUUAUAUAUCUAUCAAAAAACUGAGUUAGUUCGGUUAAUCCCCUUAUACCCAUGGUAAAAACCUUAGUAUAAAAAAUAUCUAUGUAACCACGAUUAUAUGACCAAUUGUAUAUCCCAUUUUUUAUUUGGUCCAAGAGAAUCCUUUUAGGACCACCUUUUACAAAUGCAUUGAUAAAGUUCAAAUUCCGGAAAAACGAAUAAGCAGACCCAUAUAAGAUAUAUGCUAUGAAUAGUCCGGAAAUAGCUAUACUUACUGAAAAAAUUGCAUUUGUAAAAAAUUCAUACCAAUCCACAGAAUAACUCGAAUUUGGAUGGAAAAGGUUUGUGAGUGGAGUUAACCAUUUGGAUAAUAUAUCCAAAUCUAUUACUCCUUGAUCAAAAUGAAUUCCUAUUGAUCCAACAAACAAAGUAAAUAAUACCAAUAUAAGCAGAGGAAAUAGCAUAGUAUUGUCCACUUCGCGAGGGUACAUAGAAGUGUACUUUUUUUCGAAAGAAGUAUUAAAGUAUCGUAUGCAUUUUUUUAGAUUAUUAUCAAUUUUAUACAUAUCCUUUGAAAAAAAGAAGACCCUAUUAUUCAUUGUUGAUAAAGGUAAAUUUCUAUUGACUGCUUUGGCUACCUCCUUUCCCCAUAGAGAUAUUGAAUAGGACGAACUAUUUUUUGUGCUACUGUAAUCUUGAAAAUGAACGCGCAAAUGUCCAUCAAAGGUAAGUAAAUACACCCGAAACAUAUAAAAUGCAGUCAAUCCUGCUGUGAAACAAGCUAUUAUUGCGAAAAUUGGUGAAUACAACCAACUAUCAUUAAGAAUUUCAUCUUUGGACCAAAAACAAGCAAGAGGUGGAAUACCGCAAAUAGAAAGUGUACCCAAUAAAAAAGUAGUUCUUGUAAUUGGAACAUAUCUUCUUAAACCACCCAUAAGAGCCAUAUUCUGACUUUUUUCUGGCGAAUAUCCAACAAUAGGUUCCAUUGAAUGAAUAAUGGAUCCGGAUCCCAAAAACAAUAAAGCUUUAGAAUAGGCAUGGGUAAUCAAAUGGAAUAAAGCAGCUCGAUAAGAACCUAUACCUAGAGCUAACAUAAUAUAACCCAAUUGAGACAUUGUAGAAUAGGCUAAACUUCUUUUUAUAUCUCUUUGAGCAAGAGCCAAAGUAGCUCCUAGUAGUACUGUUAUUACACCUAUUAAAGAUAUGAAAUUCAUUAUGUAAGGUAUAGCUAUGAAAAUAGGAAGAAGUCGAGCUACAAGAAAAAUUCCUGCUGCUACCAUAGUAGCAGCGUGUAUAAGAGCCGAGAUGGGAGUGGGUCCUUCCAUGGCAUCGGGUAACCAUACGUGAAGGGGGAAUUGUGCGGAUUUAGCAACUGCACCAAUGAAUAAUAAAGAGGCACACAAAGUAGCAAAUAAAGAACUGACACCAUUAUUAUGGAUCAAGUUAUUAGUUAUUUCGAACAAAUCCCGAAAUUCGAAACUACCUGUUAUCCAAUAAAAACCUAAAAUUCCUAAUAAUAAACCAAAAUCCCCUACACGGUUAGUUACAAAAGCUUUUUGACAAGCACUUGCUGCAGUCGGUCGUGUGAACCAAAAUCCUAUUAAUAAAUAGGAACACAUCCCCACCAGUUCCCAAAAAAUAUAAAUUUGUAUCAAAUUGGAACUGGUAACUAAUCCCAACAUGGAAGCAUUGAAAAAACUCAUAUAAGCAAAAAAUCUCAGAUAUCCUUGAUCAUGAGACAUAUAAUUGUCACUAUAAAUAAGAACCAAGAUUCCAACAGUAGUAAUUAGUAUUGACAUAAUAGAACUAAGUGGGUCGAUCAAAUAUCCGAACUCUAAGGAAAAAUCAUUAUUGAUGGUCCAAGACCAUAGAUAUUGAUAGAUAGAACUUCCAUGUAUUUGUUGAAUAGAUAAAUUGGCUGAAAACCCCAUAACUAUACUUAACAGUAAAACACUAGGAAAAGCCCAUAUACGACGAAUAUUUUUUGUUGCUGUCGGAAUCAGUAGAAGUCCAAAUCCUAUUGACACAGUAACUGGAAGUGGAAGAAAAGGUAUUAUCCAUGCAUAUUGAUAUGUAUGUUCCAUAAGAAAACAAAAUGAAAUCUUUAAUAAUUCUACUAUUCUAGUCUAGUCUUAGUAGAAUAUUCUAUUCUGGUAAUUUAUAGCCAUAUUAUAUAGUAUAAUAAGAAAAAAGAGUUAUACCAAAAGGAGUACUUGAUUCUAAUUAUGUUUUAAUAAAAUUAUAUGUUUUAAUAGGUUUAAAAUAUAUUUUCAAACAGGUUUUAAACAUAUUCGAAAAUGCUUUUUUUAAAACUAUUCUACCAGGGAAUAAGUAUAGAUAAUGACUAAAAGGAACAAUCUAUUUUGAACAAAACAAUACAUGUCUUUCACAUACAACGAUAAAAACUGGUAACCCUUUUUGAAUGGCAGUUCCCAAAAAGCGUACUUCUAUGUCAAAAAAACGUAUUCGUAAAAAUAUUUGGAAAAAAAAAGGAUUUUUAGCUGCAGUAAAGGCUUUUUCCUUAGCGAAAUCGGUUUCCACCGGACGUUCAAAAAGUUUUUUUGUGCAACAAACAAAUAAUAAAGUCUUGGAAUAAUCGGAAUUGACAUACCCGAAGAACUUCGAAUUUUUUAAGAUGAACGAUUCACAUUAAUUAAUGUAUUGAACUCCUCAAUAUCAAUAUGAGUUAGAACUAGCUGUUGUAGUAUGUAGAUGUGGUAUGUAGAAUAAAGGUAUGUAUAUCGAAUUCUGAAUAUUUUUUCUAUCUACUUUUUUCACAAUAGAAAAAUAUUUUUCUAUUGUGAAAAGUAGAGUAUGAUUACGAUAGAAAUGAAAAUUCUUUUGUUUCUUAUAUGCCUAACAAAAACCUAAUUAGUUUGGUAAAUCUUACCAUUAUGCAUUAUAUAUAUAAUGAAGAGACCAUUAUAUAUAAUAUGAAGAGUAUUAAUACUCUAAUGAUACUAAGGAAUGAUACUAAGGUGUCGAAAUCGUUAGAAAAUUUCAAAUUCUUUUGAUUUAGUGAUGAAAUUGUUAUACAUAUGAAAUCCUGGUUAUUUAAUCUUCUUCAUUGAAAAAAAAAAUAUUUUUUUUUUCAUUUUGUUUGAAUCUAUGAAAUCAAAUCGGAUAAAUAAAAAACGAAUCAAAAAAUAGAAAAUGAACAAUUCUUAGUUCUAUACCUCGACAGACAACAAAACUAUUGAGUUCUAACUGUUUUGGAAGAACUUAGUUUCUAGUACGCGAAAGUUUAUUAUUAAAACUAAACUUACUAAAACUAAACUUACUUUAUUAUUAAAACUAAACUUACAAUGAUCCCAACUAAAGAUUCUUUUUUUGAAUAGAGAUUCAAAUAGGAAUUUAAAUGAAUUUUGAUUUAUCGAUUCUAAUGUUUACUAAACUAUAUUGAAUCCUUGAUUCUCGACGAUUCAACAUGAAUUGACUAUUAUUAUUUCAAGUAAGCCGCCAUGGUGAAAUUGGUAGACACGCUGCUCUUAGGAAGCAGUGCUAGAGCAUCUCGGUUCGAGUCCGAGUGGCGGCAUCCUUGAAAUCCUAGAAAAUAAAUCCUCUAAAAGAGACACAAUGGAUCCUAUAAUGUAUUCAAUUCUCGAUUUAAAUUCUCUAAUGGGACCCCUUUUUAUGAUAUUUACAACUUUAGAACAUAUAUUAACUCAUAUCUCUUUUUCGAUAAUUUCAAUUGUGAUUACGAUUCAUUUAAUGAUCUUAUUAGUCCGCGAAAUCGUAGGAUUGCGUGAUUCAUUGGAAAAAGGGAUGAUAGCCACUUUUUUCUCUAUAACAGGAUUAUUAGUUUCUCGUUGGAUUUCUUCAGGACAUUUUCCGUUAAGUAAUUUAUACGAGUCAUUAAUCUUCCUUUCGUGCAGUUUCUCCAUUAUUCAUAUGAUUUCCAAGAUGGGGAACCAUAAAAAUGAUUUAAGCACAAUAACCGCACCAAGUACCAUUUUUACACAAGGCUUUGCCACGUCGGGUUUUUUAACUGAAAUGCAUCAAUCCGCAAUAUUAGUACCUGCUCUACAAUCUCAGUGGUUAAUGAUGCACGUAAGUAUGAUGUUAUUAAGCUAUGCAGCUCUUUUAUGCGGAUCACUAUUAUCAGUCGCUCUUCUAGUCAUUACAUUUCGAAAAAACAUCGAUAUUUUUUGUAAAGGUAAUAAUUUCUUAAUUAAACCAUUUUUCUUUGGUGAGAUUCAAUAUUUGAAUGAAAAAAGAAGUGUUUUUAAAAACACUUCUUUUCUUUCAUUUCGAAAUUAUUAUAAAUAUCAAUUGACUCAACGUUUGGAUUAUUGGAGUUAUCGUGUCAUUAGUUUAGGAUUUACCUUUUUAACCAUAGGCAUUCUUUGUGGAGCAGUAUGGGCUAAUGAGGCAUGGGGAUCUUAUUGGAAUUGGGACCCCAAAGAAACUUGGGCUUUUAUUACUUGGACCAUAUUCGCGAUUUAUUUACAUACUAGAACUAGAAUACAUAUUAGAAGUAGAACAAAUCAAAGUUUGCAAAGUAUGAAUUCGGCACUUGUGGCUUCUAUAGGAUUUCUUAUAAUUUGGGUAUGUUAUUUUGGAAUCAAUCUAUUAGGAAUAGGUCUACAUAGUUAUGGUUCAUUCACAUUAACAUCUACUUGAAUAAACUACACAGAUAAAUAAUUGAAUAAACUACAUAAAGAAUACAUAAGAACAUCAUCCCAUAUAUAUAUAAAAAGCUUCUUGUUUGUGCGAGUUUUUGAGAACCGUUUGAAUCAUUCCUUAUUCAAAACGGUUCUCAAAAACUCAAAAUGCAUCUCAUUACAAUUCUAAUUCACUUUAUUCUUUUGCAUUGUACAGCGAACGAUUUUAAAAAUCUUAAAAUCAAAGACAAAAAUUAUAUUUCCGUAUUAUUAAUGAAAGACUAUCGAUGAAAGUAAUUAGAUAGGAUAGCUUGCACCCUGUCAACUGAUAGCGAGAGAACGAAAUCCGGAUAAAUACCAAUACCUAUUACGGGUAGAAAGAUACAGAUUGAAACAAAUAGUUCUCGUGGUCCAGAAUCCGCAAAAUUAGAGUUUGGAACAUUGAAUAGCUUGUAUCCAUAGAACAUCUGACGUAACAUAGAUAAUAAAUAAAUAGGAGUUAAUAUCAUUCCAAUUGCCAUUACAAAAGUAAUUAGCAUUUUUGGCAUUAAAAGGUAUUUUGGACUAGUAAUUAUUCCAAAAAAUACUAAUAAUUCCGCAACAAAACCACUCAUUCCUGGCAAUGCAAGAGAAGCCAUCGAAAAACUACUGAACAUGGUAAAUAGUUUUGGCAUUGGGAUCGAUACCCCCCCCAUUUCGUCGAGAUAAACAAGACGUAUUCUAUCACAACUCGUUCCUGCCAAGAAAAAAAGCGCAGCACCAAUAAAUCCAUGAGAGAGUAUUUGUAAAAUGGCACCGUUGAGUCCCAUUCCGGUUAUAGAACCAAUUCCUAUAAUUGUGAAACCCAUGUGAGAUACAGAGGAAUAGGCUAUUCUUUUUUUUAAAUUCCGUUGACCGAGAGAGGUUGAAGCUGCAUAGAUUAUUUGAAUCGUUCCCACUAUUACCAACCAGGGAGAAAAUAUAGAAUGAGCGUGGGGUAAUAAUUCCAUAUUGAUCCGAAUAAGUCCAUAUGCGCCCAUUUUUAAUAAGAUUCCAGCUAGAAGCAUACAUGUACUGUAAUGUGCUUCUCCAUGGGUAUCUGGUAACCACGUAUGUAGGGGUAUAAUCGGCGAUUUGACAGCAUAAGCAAUAAGGAAUCCAAAAUAUAAUAUUAUUUCCAAUGCCACAGGAUAUGAUUGAUUAGUUAAUUUUGAAAAAUCUAAUGUGGGUUCAUUAGGGCCAUAUAAACCCAUACCUAGAACUCCUAUUAAGAGAAAAAUGGAGCCCCCCGCAGUGUACAAAAUAAACUUUGUGGCCGAGUAGAGACGUUUCUUUCCCCCCCACAUGGAUAAAAGUAAAUAAACAGGAAUUAAUUCUAACUCCCACAGCAUGAAAAAAAGUAAAAGGUCUCUAGAAGAAAAUAAUCCUAUUUGACCGCUGUACAUUGCUAACAUGAGAAAAUAGAACAAUCGCGAAUUUCGAGUAACUGGCCAAGCCGCUAAGGUAGCUAAAGUGGUGAUAAAUCCUGUCAGUAAAAUAGGUCCUAUGGAAAGCCCAUCGAUUCCCAGUCUCCAGUGAAAAUCAAAAACAUCUAUCCAUUUUAAAUCUUCCUCCAAUUGGGUUAAUGGAUCGUCCAAUUGGAAAUGAUAACAGAAAACAUAGGUUGUUAGAAGGAGUUCCAACGAGCAUAUACAUAUAGCAUACCACCUAAACAUCUUAUUUCCUUUAUGAGGAAGAAAGAAAAUGGAAGAACCGACGGAUAUCGGCAAAACAACAAGUAUUGUUAACCAAGGAAAAUAACUCGUGAUAAAGACAAGAUACGUUUGACCAGAAAAACCCGUGCUCGGAAUAGAAUAAUAUAUUUUCUCGAGUACGGGCUUUUGUCGGUAAAGAGGAAUCAAUUGAUUCAAGUGGAUUUUUUUGUAACGUAUCAAUAACCUAGACCCAUGCUGCGAGUUGUUUCAUAUGAUAAAUAAACACGGACACUCAAAAAAUCCGUGGGGCAGGCGGAUUCACAUCUCUUACAACCCACACAGUCCUCGGUUCUUGGUGCGGAAGCAAUUUGCUUAGCUUUACAUCCGUCCCAAGGUAUCAUUUCCAAUACGUCUGUGGGGCAGGCUCGUACACAUUGAGUACACCCUAUACAUGUAUCAUAAAUUUUUACUGAAUGUGACAUUGGAUCUAUAAAUUCCAGAUUUUAACAUCAAAAAUUUUCAAUCUGGUAGAAAAUUAGUAUUUAUAUUAUAGACACCAGACGAAGCAGUGGUUUAUUAAAAUUUUAAGAAUCAAUAUAUUUCUAAAUCUGUUCAUGAGAAAAAGCCAAGAGACUUUGAUUUCCGUUUCAAAAAUCAUGAUCAUACGAGUCACAUGUGUAAAUAAAAAUUGGCCGACAAAACAAAUUGAUCAAUCAUUCAAAUCAAUAUUUCAAUAUUCAUAUUUUCAAUAUGAAAUAUGAAUAUAUAAAAAUAAAACUAAAUUAGUAAUUUAAUUUAUUUUCGUAAUAUGAUUAACAUAUUAUUAUUUAAUAAUAUUAUUUUUAUUAUUUUAUUAUAAUAUUUAUAAUAUUAUGCAGUAUAUUAUUAUAUAAUACAUUUAUAUUAUUAUAAUACAUUAAAAAUACAUUAAAAACAUUAAAAUUUAAAUACAUUAAAAUUAAAUAAAAUAAACAAAUAAAAAACGAAAUAAAAAAAUUAUAAUACCAAUUAAAUUAAGAAUAUAAUUAUUUUUCAUUAAUGGAAUAUGAAAGUGAAAGAAUAGAAAUAGAAAAAUAUUCCAAUUUCAUUUAUAUUUUCUUAUGCUUUAUCAUGUUGUGUGGUGUCUUGAUUUAUAUGAUCAUUAUAACUGAUUAUUCAAUAUAUGAUCAUGAUAAUUAUCACUAAUUAUUCAACAAAUUCGAUUGAUUGAUACGAGUUGAUUUUCUGUUUCGAUGAAUCGACGAAACAAUAGCUAGACCAAUAGCUGCUUCAGCAGCUGCAACAGCUAUAAUAAAGAUUGAGAAAAUGUUUCCUUUUAAUUGGCGACUAUCAAAUAUAUCAGAAAAUGUUACAAGAUUAAUAUUAACCGAAUUUAGUAUAAGCUCAAGACACAUAAGUGCUCUAACCAUGUUUCGACUUGUGAUCAAUCCAUAGAGACCGAUAGAAAAUAAAUAAACACUCAAAAAAAGUACAUGCUCGAACAUCAUUGACUAACUCCUUAUCAAUCUCGAUUCAUUUCAAUAUGAACAAUUGAAGCGAUUCGAUUUUUUAUUUAUUUAGAACUUCUAAAAUUCUAAAAACUUUUUAAUUCUUUUAAAAUUCUAAGUAUUUAUUAUUGGCGAGCCAUAGUAAUUGCACCUAUCAAGGAAACUAAAAGAAUUAUAGAAAUUAGUUCAAAGGGAAGAUAAAAAUCUGUCGAUAAAUGAAUCCCAAUUUGUUGAACGUUACUUAUUAGGUCCUGUUCUAUAAUCUGGUUUGAUCUUGUAGUCCAAAUAAUUCCGUACCAUGACGUAUCUGGUAUAGUAGUAAUUAGUGAAAAAAGAAUACUUGUACAAACCAGUGAAGUGACUCCAUCUCCAAUGGUCCAAAAAUACGAAUCAUUGGAAUAUUCUGAACCAUUCAUGAACAUUACCGCAAAUAUGAUUAAGACAUUUACGGCUCCCACAUAAAUAAGUAGCUGUGCGGCAGCUACAAAAAAAGAGUUCGAUGGAAUGUAGAAUAAGGAUAUACAAACAAGAACCAAUCCCAAUGAAAAAGCAGAAUAAAUAGGAUUGGUAAGUAAUACUACCCCCAGACCCCCUAAUAUAAGAACUGACCCCAGAAAUGCUACAAGAAUAUCAUGUAUUGGUCCAGGUAAAUCCAUUAUGUAUAAUAUGUAAAAAAAAAAAUAUAUAAGUCAAAUCAUGACCUUACUAAAUGGUCCAGGAAAGGAAAAGGGUUACCCCAUUUUUAUUGUAUAUGAUAUGUUCCUAAUUGAAUUAAAUCUUAAUAUGGAUUAAUUUAAUAUUAAUUUUAUAUAUAGAUAUAAUUAUUUUAUUGGGCCAAUCCUACUUACUUUUUAUCCAAAAGAAAAAGAAUAAAAAAAGUAGUUGAAAUUGUAUAUUUCGAAAUUCCCGUGAUAAAAAUAUUAUAAGUUUAAAUCAAAGAGUGAUUCUCACCAAUCUAUAGUUACUAAUUAAAUCUAUAGUUACUAAUUAUUAUUUGUAGUUACUGACCAACCAAAAUAAAAAAGUUUUGAUCUUUUAUAUCAAAACAAAAUCUUAGUAAUCGGUAAUCGUUCUUGAAUCAAAGGGUUUAUCUUUAUCUAUUUUGAUUUGAGUCGAAUUCAUAACUGUUUGAAUUGUGUAAUCUUCAAUUACUGACAUUGGUAACCGACUCAAAGCAAUUUGAUUAUAAUUCAAUUCGUGACGAUCAUAAGUAGAAAGCUCAUAUUCUUCAGUCAUUGAUAAACAGUUUGUUGGACAAUACUCGACACAGUUACCACAAAAUAUACAGACCCCGAAAUCAAUACUAUAAUUAAGCAAUUGUUUCUUUUUCAUAUCUCUUUCCAAUCUCCAAUCAACAACAGGUAGAUCUAUUGGGCAUACACGAACACAUACUUCGCAAGCAAUACAUUUAUCAAAUUCAAAGUGAAUUCGACCACGAAAACGUUCUGACGUAAUUGAUUUCUCAUAAGGAUAUUGAAUAGUUACAGGUAAACGGUUUGUGUGGGAUAAGGUAAUUAUGAAACUUUGACCAAUAUACCUUGCAGCUCGUAUUGUUUGUUGACCAUAAUUCAUGAACCCAGUUACCAUGGGAAACAUAUUGUAGAUAUCCAUAAAUAAAUUGAUGUUUCUUUCUCUUGUUUGAAAGAGGUUAUGAAUCUAGAAUAUCGUUAUCGUAUUCUGUUAUUUUAUAGUGAAACAAGUUGGGAAGAAGUUGUCAAUAAUAGAUUACCCAAAGAAAUAGGUAAAAGAAAUUUCCAUCCAAGAUUUAAUAGCUGGUCCAUUCUCAUCCUAGGUAAAGUCCAUCUUGUUGUGAUAGAAAUGAACAGAAACAAAUAAGCUUUAACUAAUGUAAUAAAGAUACCAAUUGUCAUUCCAAAGACUCCAGCUAUUUUUUUUAUUCCGAAAAGCUCAGGAAUGGAUAUGUACGGAAUAGAUAAAUUCCACCCACCUAAGUAAAGAACCGUUACGAAUAACGAAGAAGCUAAUAGAUUUAGGUAAGAAGCAAGAUAAAAUAAACCAAAUCUGAUACCAGAAUAUUCGGUUUGAUAACCUGCUACUAAUUCCUCCUCUGCUUCUGGUAAAUCAAAGGGCAAUCUCUCACAUUCAGCUAGAGAAGAAAUUAUGAAAACUAUAAAUCCUAUGGGCUGACGCCAUAGAUUCCACCCCCAAAAGCCAUAUUUGGACUGUGCUUCAACUAUAUCAACUGUACUUGAACUGUUAGAUAAUUAUAGUCGAUAAUAACAUUACUGUUUCCAUCGCUAUUCCAAAACCGUACAUGAGACCUCAGCUUCAUACGGCUCCUCUAUGGCCACAAAUAAAUGUAAGGACUAGUUCGAUAUUAUCACCCCUUUUCUUUUGGGAUAACUAGAAUAAAGAUAUAUCAGAGAGUCCGAAAUUAAACCAAUGGAAUUCCGUUUGCUAGAAUAAGAAAAAGUGCUUCGGAAUUAAUCUCAUCCCUUAUGAUAAUAAAAAUGUAUUUUUCUUUGUUCGGUAAUAACUCAGCCCUUCAAUAAAAUACUCGUUAUAUCAAUAAAUCUAAAGAAUUUAAAGAAUUAGGAAUUAGUCCAUUAAUUGUGAUAGGAAUUCCACCCAUAUGGAUGGGAAAAAAGAAUAAAUAAAUAUCUUUUUUUUAUUAAUUCGAUUAUUACAUUCCAUUUCUUUUGUUCCUGUUCUUCUAUCUCAGAAGAGGGUACUUUGAAAAAAAAAGAAUAA
Long non-coding RNA from Musa acuminata AAA Group (dessert banana), 11254 nucleotides. RefSeq lists it as uncharacterized. The transcript is spliced from 2 exons. The record is from RefSeq and is a predicted model, not a curated record. Lineage: Eukaryota; Viridiplantae; Streptophyta; Magnoliopsida; Zingiberales; Musaceae.